GUUGUCGGUCAUAGGACGCGUGUCCCACCUGAUCCCGUUCCGAACUCAGAAGUUAAACCGUGUUCCGUUCCCAACUGUAGUGCGGUCUUCGGCCGCGUGAACUCGGGAAAGCUGACACUA
RNAcentral lists this ribosomal RNA (120 nucleotides) under Candidatus Bathycorpusculum sp. RNAcentral also lists the same sequence under 1 other name. The record is from RNAcentral. Lineage: Archaea; Thermoproteati; Candidatus Bathyarchaeota; Bathyarchaeia (SeqCode); Bathyarchaeales (SeqCode); Candidatus Bathycorpusculaceae.